RNAcentral lists this unclassified non-coding RNA (230 nucleotides) under uncultured fungus. RNAcentral describes it as "sequence contains ITS2". Lineage: Eukaryota; Fungi. The record is from RNAcentral.
AACGCACAUUGCGCCCUUUGGUAUUCCGAAGGGCAUGCCUGCUCGAGCGUCAUCUAAAUAUCAAGCGCUGCUUGGUCUUGAGCGUGGUCCCGUCGGACCAGCUUGCAACUUGUUGGCGGUACCGCCCAGCUUCAAGCGUAGCAGAAUAUGCUCCGGAGCUGGCUGUGCCCGCCUAGCAAAUCCACCUAGAGUUUGACCUCGGAUCAGGUAGGGAUACCCGCUGAACUUAA